This 73-nucleotide transfer RNA is filed under the name Zootermopsis nevadensis. It matches the Rfam family "tRNA". Rfam says of the family: Transfer RNA (tRNA) molecules are approximately 80 nucleotides in length. Lineage: Eukaryota; Metazoa; Arthropoda; Insecta; Blattodea; Termopsidae. The record is from Rfam by way of RNAcentral.
GCCACGGUGGUCUAGCGGUUAGAACGCUGGCCUUGUCAUCCUGGGGUCUCGGGUUCGAUUCCCGGCGGUGCCG